RNAcentral lists this ribosomal RNA (368 nucleotides) under uncultured bacterium. RNAcentral describes it as "bacterial SSU rRNA". It matches the Rfam family "Bacterial small subunit ribosomal RNA", at positions 29 to 410 of the family's 1533-position model. The record is from RNAcentral.
AAUCAACGCUGGCGGCGCGCUUAACACAUGCAAGUCGAGCGAGAAAGGGGAGCAAUCCCUGAGUACAGCGGCGUACGGGUGAGUAACACGUGGAUAAUCUACCUUCUAGUGGGGAAUAACCCUGGGAAACCGGGGCUAAUACCGCAUAAGCCUGUAAAGGGAAAGCAGCAAUGCGCUGGAAGAGGAGUCCGCGGCCGAUUAGCUAGUUGGUGAGGUAACGGCCCACCAAGGCGACGAUCGGUAGCCGGCCUGAGAGGGCACACGGCCACACUGGCACUGAAACACGGGCCAGACUCCUACGGGAGGCAGCAGUGGGGAAUCUUGCACAAUGGAGGCAACUCUGAUGCAGCGACGCCGCGUGAGCGAUG